UAUACAAAUAAACGGAAACCUAAAGAGAACUACUGUGAAGAAACAAGAAGUGAAGACUGAGAUGGCAAUGACUCUGAAAAUCUUAGCCAGGGCUGCUGAAAAGACCCAGUUGAUUCCAGGUGAAAAUGAUUGGGAUAACGUUGAUGACCCAUUACAUUUCUUCCCAGGUGCCUUUGGAAUUUUCAAGAGAGAAUUUGGAUAGGGCCUAUGGAAUUUUUCUCUCCUUUAUGUUCAAUAUAUAGGUUGCCCAUCUGCCAUGCUUGAAGGUUUGAAUUUCCCAUAUGCAACAAUCUUGAAGGUCCUGCUGGAGCAUUUGGCCAAUUUGCUGCUGGAAUUGGAAUCACUGAUGCAGGAUUUGUAUUGGGCCCUGGAAAGGUCCUGCUCAAGGUUUCUACUGUAAUUACAAGGAUCAUUAGCUGCUUUAGCAAUUUGAGAUUCUCUAGUGAGCACUAAUUUGAACCUAUAAUACCUUCAUCUUUAUUGAUUUAUUUUUAUGAUAAAAUUACUGUUUUUUGUUUUUUUUCAUGUGGAUGCAUAUAGAAUUUCAAAUCUUGUGUUCCAUCAAAAUAAAACUCUAGUCUUUUCAAGC
This is a non-coding RNA of Jatropha curcas, 589 nucleotides long. The record is from RefSeq and is a predicted model, not a curated record. Lineage: Eukaryota; Viridiplantae; Streptophyta; Magnoliopsida; Malpighiales; Euphorbiaceae.